UCCUUGGUCUCUGACCUGGAAGUCACAUGUCUUCUCUUUUUAAUUUGAACUGAUUUACUUGAAAUCCAGAGAGACAGGCACAGAGAUGUUCCAUCCACUGUUUCGUUCCCCACAUGCCCUCAACAGCCAGAGCAGAAGCAGCCCAAGGCCGGCGCCACGGCUCACUGUCCACUCUGCCUGUCAAAAAAAAAAAAAAAAAAAAGCAGCAGCAGCAGCAGCCUGAGGCGGGAGCCAGGAGUUCAAUCCCCAUCUCCCAGCUGAGUGACAGAGCCAUUACUUGCUGCCUCCCAGGAAAUCCACUUUUAAAAGUUGACAGGAUGUGAACUUGGAAAUGUGUCUGCAUCAUUUAUAGUCCCUCCAACAACCUGUAAGGUAAAUUAUUCCCAUUUUAUAGAUAACAUUGAGGUUCUGUUUUAAUUCAUAUCUAAGAGAAAAUUGAUUAAAUGACAAAGUAUUAGGAUACUCACAGAAAAAUAAGUUUUCUUUUUUUUAUUUGCACAUAGCACACAACAGUCCCUUAUGACAUGACCAACGAGCUGUCCUGUAAUUCAGUUUGGUUCUGACACCAUCUGCCAGGAGCUGGCAUAGCGUCAGGUCCCACAGGCCGAGGGCUCAGUGCCCAGCACCGCCCACUUUGGAUGCUGAUGGCAAAUCCCAUGUUGUGCUUUGUGUUUCUGACCCACCUGGUACAAAUCAGGGCUCCCACCACCUGCUCCUCAGCUGUUAAAAUUGAUUUAUUUAUAUUAUAAUUAUAAUUUAUUUGAAAGGCGGGGGGGAGGGGGGAUCCACAGGUUUACUCUCUAAAUGCCCACAACAGCUGGGCCAGACCAGGCCAAAGCCAGAAGCCAGGAAUCAGUCCAUGUGGGUGACAGGAACUCAAGUACUUGCCCGUCAUCUCCUGCCUCCCAGGGUGCACAUUAGCAGGAAGCUUGAACAGGAAGUAGAGCCAGGACCUGAACCCAGGCACCCCGAUACGGAAUGUGGGCAUCCGCUGUGCCAAAAUGCCUUCUUCGCUUUCCUUGAAUUGACUAAUUAGAGCAGCUCCACAGGACCCAGGAAACACUUUACACAUUGCCAG
RNAcentral lists this long non-coding RNA (1078 nucleotides) under Oryctolagus cuniculus (rabbit). RNAcentral's name for it is "lncRNA (ENSOCUG00000029959.1)". Lineage: Eukaryota; Metazoa; Chordata; Mammalia; Lagomorpha; Leporidae. The record is from RNAcentral.